GAUCCUGGCUCAGGAUGAACGCUGGCGGCGUGCUUAACACAUGCAAGUCGAGCGAAGCACUUAAGUUUGAUUCUUCGGAUGAAGACUUUUGUGACUGAGCGGCGGACGGGUGAGUAACGCGUGGGUAACCUGCCGUCAUACAGGGGGAUAACAGCUAGAAAUGACUGCUAAUACCGCAUAAGACCACGGUACCGCAUGGUACAGUGGUAAAAACUCCGGUGGUAUGAGAUGGACCCGCGU
RNAcentral lists this ribosomal RNA (240 nucleotides) under uncultured bacterium. RNAcentral's name for it is "partial 16S ribosomal RNA". It matches the Rfam family "Bacterial small subunit ribosomal RNA", at positions 15 to 236 of the family's 1533-position model. The record is from RNAcentral.